AGCAGAGUGGCUCAGUGGAAAGAGCACGGACUUUAGAGUCAGAGAUCAUGGGUUCGAAUCCCGUCUCUGCCA
RNAcentral lists this transfer RNA (72 nucleotides) under Ornithorhynchus anatinus (platypus). It matches the Rfam family "tRNA". From Rfam's summary of the family: Transfer RNA (tRNA) molecules are approximately 80 nucleotides in length. Their secondary structure includes four short double-helical elements and three loops (D, anti-codon, and T loops). The record is from Rfam by way of RNAcentral. Lineage: Eukaryota; Metazoa; Chordata; Mammalia; Monotremata; Ornithorhynchidae.